UACGUAGGCAGCAAGCGUUGUUCGGAAUUACUGGGCGUAAAGAGUGUGUAGGCGGUGUUCUAAGUCUGUUGUGAAAUCUCCCGGCUUAACCGGGAGGGUGCGGCGGAAACUGGAAUGCUAGAGGAUGGGAGAGGUAAGCGGAAUUCCUGGUGUAGCGGUGAAAUGCGUAGAUAUCAGGAGGAACACCUGUGGUGUAGACAGCUUACUGGACCAUUUCUGACGCUGAGACACGAAAGCGUGGGUAGCAAACAGG
Molecule: ribosomal RNA, 253 nt
Filed under: uncultured bacterium
Lineage: Bacteria
Description: partial 16S ribosomal RNA
Rfam family: Bacterial small subunit ribosomal RNA
Source: RNAcentral